Long non-coding RNA from Thalassophryne amazonica, 319 nucleotides. RefSeq lists it as uncharacterized. The transcript has 2 exons. NCBI's taxonomy places the organism in Eukaryota, Metazoa, Chordata, Actinopteri, Batrachoidiformes, Batrachoididae. The record is from RefSeq and is a predicted model, not a curated record.
UGGUUAGUAAUGUGUCAGAAGGAAGCGAGUCUUCCUCUUUCAUGUGACGCUUGAUGAGGUUUUUCUGAACCCGUUCCAGGAAAAGUCUCCCCACAUGCAGGCGUGAGAGCGAUGCACAGUGAGCAACCAUCUGUGGUGAAACAUGUCCGCUGAGUCUCUGACCAUGUGAUCAUCUUCCUGCAGGUUUAUCCAGCAUCCCAAGAACUUUGGUCUGAUUGCAUCUUUUCUGGAGAGAAAGACUGUGGCGGAGUGUGUGCUCUUUUAUUAUCUUACCAAGAAGAAUGAAAACUACAAGAACAUAGUGCGGAGGAACUACCGG